UCCAUCGUUGACAGAGACAUAUGCAGAGGGUAUAAAUGCCAUAAAAAUGAGCUUUUUGCAGCCCAGUACAAGGAGUACAUUGCUGGUAAAUGUGAGGUCAGUCAUCCACUUUGAAAAGAAAAAUAGAAGAUCAGAUUAUUGUUUAAAUGGUGAAAGACUGUGGCAUGUUCUUGUGCAGAGGGACUUGAGUGCUUGUGCACAAAUUACAAAAAGUCAGUUUGCAGGUACAAUAGGUUAUUAAGCAGACAAAUGGAAUAUUUGUCUUCCUUGCUAGCGAGAUUGAAUUUAAGAGCAAGGAGGUUAUGCUGCAACUAUACAGGAUUCUGGUGAGGCCACACAUCGAGUACUGUGUACAGUGGAUACGUCCCAGUCUAUCACAGGUUAAGCCCUCUCCACCACUGAGCACAUCUAUAUGAAGUGUUGUUGCAGGAAAGCAGCAUCCAUCAUCAGGGACCCCACCAUCCAGGCCAUGCUCUCCUCUCACUGCUGCCAUCAGGAAGAAGGUCCCCUCUGAGCCUCCUCUGGAGCCGGGGUGCAGAGUGAGGGAGACCCAGCGAAGCAGUGAAGAGUUUAUGCAGAUACCGGCCUGGAGGCCCCUGGUGUGUAAUAGAGCUGGGAUGAAGAGUGUGGGAGACCCAGCAAGGUGAUGAAGAGUUUAUGUGGAUACUGGCUUGGAGACUCCUUGUGUUAUGGAGCUGGGAUGAAGAGCGAGGGAGACCUAGCGAGGUGAUGAAGAGUUUAUGCAGAUACCGGCCUGCAAAGUCCCUGGUGUGGAAUGGAGCCGGGGUGCAGAGUGAGGGAGAUCCUGCCAAGUGGAAUGUACGGGAAAUAGCUCUCCACUUCUCCCCUCUCCCGCAGAACUGGCAAAAGACUCCGUAUUUUGUGACAGGUAUCUGGAAUACACAGCUGGGGGUAGAGGAAGAAGCAUUUGGGACAAUUAAGGUGCCCGAUGGGAGCUGGGAGAAGAUGGCAUGGCCUGGACGAUGGGAAUCUUGAUGAUGGAUGUUGCCGAAGGAACACCUCCAGGUGAUGGUGAAGAAUUCAAAGAAUCCUCUCGGGGAAAAGGCGUUCACAGUAGAAGACAGAAAUACAAUAGAAUCAAUGGAAAACUACACGCAGUGGAGACAGAAACAACCAGUGUGCAAAAGGAGACAAAC
Long non-coding RNA from Mobula hypostoma (lesser devil ray), 1157 nucleotides. RefSeq lists it as uncharacterized. NCBI's taxonomy places the organism in Eukaryota, Metazoa, Chordata, Chondrichthyes, Myliobatiformes, Myliobatidae. The transcript has 4 exons. The record is from RefSeq and is a predicted model, not a curated record.